GUUGUCGCAAUGGUAAACCUGCUCAGUACGAGAGGGACCGCAGGUUCGGACAUUUGGCACACGUGGUGCGAAGCUACCAUCCGUGGGACUAUGACUGAACGCCUUUAAGUCAGCAUCCCGUCCAGAUCUGUAACGAUACCUUAGCGCCUUCUUGUUGUUCCGCAGAAAUGCGCUCAGCUUCAUCGCAGAGCCGUGUUAUGCCACACUGAUGGAGCCUUGCGCCUAACUGGCGAUGUAACGACGCUAGCUCGGCCGGCUUCUGGUCCCACACCAGAUAAACGUGAAGGCGAGAAAUCGUCGGUAGAUGACUUAAAUACCGGUCGGGGUAUCUGUUGAGACUCAUCCUUCGACCGGAAGAUUU
This 361-nucleotide non-coding RNA is filed under the name Hypsibius dujardini. RNAcentral's name for it is "Eukaryotic large subunit ribosomal RNA". It matches the Rfam family "Eukaryotic large subunit ribosomal RNA", at positions 3007 to 3399 of the family's 3401-position model. The record is from Rfam by way of RNAcentral. Lineage: Eukaryota; Metazoa; Tardigrada; Eutardigrada; Parachela; Hypsibiidae.